AUUGAACGCUGGCGGCAGGCCUAACACAUGCAAGUCGAACGAGUGGCGGACUGGUGAGCAAUGUCUUGGCAACUGCCUGAUGGAGGGGGCUAACUACUGGAAACGGUAUCUAAUACCGCAUACCAUCGGAUGUGCCCAGAUGGGAUUAGCUAGUAGGUGGGGGAAAGGCUUACCUAGGCGACGAUCCCUAGCUGGUCUGAGAGGAUGACCAGCCACAAUGGAAAGGAGACACGGUCCAGACUCCUACGGGAGGCAGCAGUGGGGAAUAGUGCACAAUGGGCGAAAGUCUGAUGCAGCCAUGCCGCGUGUAUGAAGAAGGCCUUCGGGUUGUAAAGUACUUUCAGCGGGGAGGCGUUACCCGCAGAAGAAGCAACGGCUAACUCCGUGCCAGCAGCCGCGGUAAUAC
This 406-nucleotide ribosomal RNA is filed under the name uncultured bacterium. RNAcentral's name for it is "partial 16S ribosomal RNA". It matches the Rfam family "Bacterial small subunit ribosomal RNA", at positions 30 to 526 of the family's 1533-position model. The record is from RNAcentral.